RNAcentral lists this transfer RNA (69 nucleotides) under Psedna nana. Its description in RNAcentral is "tRNA-Thr". It matches the Rfam family "tRNA". Rfam says of the family: Transfer RNA (tRNA) molecules are approximately 80 nucleotides in length. Their secondary structure includes four short double-helical elements and three loops (D, anti-codon, and T loops). Further hydrogen bonds mediate the characteristic L-shaped molecular structure. tRNAs have two regions of fundamental functional importance: the anti-codon, which is responsible for specific mRNA codon recognition, and the 3' end, to which the tRNAs corresponding amino acid is attached (by aminoacyl-tRNA synthetases). tRNAs cope with the degeneracy of the genetic code in two manners: having more than one tRNA (with a specific anti-codon) for a particular amino acid; and 'wobble' base-pairing, i.e. permitting non-standard base-pairing at the 3rd anti-codon position. The record is from RNAcentral. Lineage: Eukaryota; Metazoa; Arthropoda; Insecta; Orthoptera; Pyrgomorphidae.
GUUUUAAUAGUUUAACAUAAAACAUCGGUCUUGUAAACCGAAAUUAAGUAGCCCCCCACUUUUAAAACU